CAAUAGAUCUGUUGGCCGUGGUGGUUCCCGAAGGCAAUGAGCACCUCCUCCCGGUGACGGCAACGUGGUGGAGGAUCAAGAGGAGUGGCGGGGGCCUCCUGCCAGUGGGUGGUGGCGGGGCAGACAUGAGGUGGAAGGCAGUACGCGGCGUCCUCGACCUCACCGAGCACCCCGUCGGCCAGCCCCUUGCUACCAGCCACGGAGUGGACGGAGAACCUGGUGUAGGCGCCGAGCAGGGCGUCGAGGUGCGGGUCGGGACGCCGUAGUGGAGUGGUUUGGGGGCCGGGUCAUCGUGGGAGGAGGGUACAUUGCUUCUCCCCACCCCCUCAGUGCUCAGCAGGAGGAGCUGCUCGCCGUCGGGCCUCAUGGGAGUGGUCGCCGCCCCGCCAUUUUCGGAUCCGGCCACCGUCGCCAUCUCUAUUCUUGCCCCGUCAUUCCUCAGGGUGAUUCGGGCAACGGGAGGGGAUGGGAGGAGGCGGAGCACGAGGGACGAAGCGACGGGAGGGGAGGGGAAGGGAGGAGGCAGAGCACGCGGGACGAAGCGUGGUGGCGGUGGCGAGUGCAGGGAAGAUGGGUGUGGCGAAUGGGAGGACGAAGAGGCGAGAUAGGC
RNAcentral lists this ribosomal RNA (610 nucleotides) under Triticum aestivum (bread wheat). RNAcentral describes it as "partial small subunit ribosomal RNA". Lineage: Eukaryota; Viridiplantae; Streptophyta; Magnoliopsida; Poales; Poaceae. The record is from RNAcentral.